This 193-nucleotide unclassified non-coding RNA is filed under the name soil metagenome. RNAcentral describes it as "partial contains 5.8S ribosomal RNA, internal transcribed spacer 2, and large subunit ribosomal RNA". The record is from RNAcentral.
AACGCACGAGACCUGCGGACCUGCGGAAGGAUCAUUACCGAGUUAUCCAACUCCCAACCCCUGUGAAUCAUACCUUUAAUUGUUGCUUCGGCGGGACUUCGCGCCCGCCGGGGACCCAAACCUUCUGAAUUUUUUAAUAAGUAUCUUCUGAGUGGUUAAAAAAAUGAAUCAAAACUUUCAACAAUGGAUCUCU